UUUGAUCAUGGCUCAGGACGAGCGCUGGCGGCGUGUCUAAUACAUGCAAGUCGAGCGAACAGACCUCAGAAAGCUUGCUUUCAGAGGCGAGUUAGCGGCGAACGGGUGAGUAACGCGUAAACAAUCUGCCUUCGGGUCCGGGAUAACAUCGGGAAACUGGUGCUAACACUGGAUAUUAUGACCAUGUUGCAUGACGAGGUCAUGAAACGGGGCUUCGGCUAGGCCUGAAGAUGAGUUUGCGUCCCAUUAGCUAGUUGGUGUGGUAACGGCGCACCAAGGCGACGAUGGGUAGCCGGCCUGAGAGGGUGAUCGGCCACAUUGGAACUGAGACACGGCCCAGACUCCUACGGGAGGCAGCAGUAGGGAAUAUUGCGCAAUGGGCGUUGAGCCUGACGCAGCGACGCCGCGUGAGUGAUGAAGGCCUUCGGGUCGUAAAGCUCUGUCAGCAGGGAAGAAGGUAGAGUAUGUGAAUAAUGUGCUUUGCUUGACGGUACCUGCAGAGGAAGCCCCGGCUAAUUACGUGCCAGCAGCCGCGGUAA
This 539-nucleotide ribosomal RNA is filed under the name uncultured bacterium. RNAcentral describes it as "bacterial SSU rRNA". It matches the Rfam family "Bacterial small subunit ribosomal RNA", at positions 12 to 523 of the family's 1533-position model. The record is from RNAcentral.